GUACAGGUUCAACCACAGUGAGAAUAAAAGGAGGUCCUUUUUCUUGUAUCCAUCUGACUUACCGUCUUCAUGAUGCUUUUCUUCUCUGCUUCUUGUCCCAAGCUGGCCUACGCAGAUUCAUUGGUGAUCAGUGGCACAUGCAGAACAUCCACAAAGACUCUGUGGAAAGCUCUGAUGAUGAGUUUUUUGAUGCUCGAGAAGAGGUGGUGGAAGGAAAAAGUGCUAUUCUCAUCGGCAUGAGUCAGUGGAACUCAAAUGACCUUGUUGAGCAGAUAGAAACAAUUGGGAAGCUGGAAGAAAAUCAAGGUACCGUUUAGCUUGCCUUAC
Meleagris gallopavo (turkey) is the source of this 327-nucleotide non-coding RNA. Lineage: Eukaryota; Metazoa; Chordata; Aves; Galliformes; Phasianidae. The record is from RefSeq and is a predicted model, not a curated record.